This 370-nucleotide ribosomal RNA is filed under the name Lecudina sp. RNAcentral's name for it is "partial small subunit ribosomal RNA". It matches the Rfam family "Eukaryotic small subunit ribosomal RNA", at positions 587 to 975 of the family's 1831-position model. The record is from RNAcentral. Lineage: Eukaryota; Apicomplexa; Conoidasida; Eugregarinorida; Lecudinidae.
AGCUCCAAUAGCGUAUAUUAUUGAUGUUGCAGUUGAAAAGUUCGUAGUCUAACUUCGUCCGUUUAGGUCUUGAUUAUCUUUUGAUGAUCUAGUCUUUCAACGGAGAAUGUGCAAUCGCUUCACGUGUGUUUCACAUGUGUGACUUUUGCAUCCUACUUUGAGUGAAUCGGCGUGUUCCACGCAAGCUUGAGCUUUGAACGAUCAACCAUAGAAUAGGCAGACUGUGUUAACGCUUCUUUGUUUGUUCGGAGGCGUUUUCUAUACAGAAAAGAACAGUCGAUGGUAUUUGUAUUCAACUGCCAGAGGUGAAAUUCUUUGAUUAGUUGAGGACAAACUACUGCGAAAGCAUCUACCAAGGAUGUUUCUUUUG